UGGGGAAUAUUGCACAAUGGGCGCAAGCCUGAUGCAGCCAUGCCGCGUGUGUGAAGAAGGCCUUCGGGUUGUAAAGCACUUUCAGCGGGGAGGAAGGCGUUAAGGUUAAUAACCUUGGCGAUUGACGUUACCCGCAGAAGAAGCACCGGCUAACUCCGUGCCAGCAGCCGCGGUAAUACGGAGGGUGCAAGCGUUAAUCGGAAUUACUGGGCGUAAAGCGCACGCAGGCGGUCUGUCAAGUCGGAUGUGAAAUCCCCGGGCUCAACCUGGGAACUGCCUUCGAAACUGGCAGGCUAGAGUCUUGUAGAGGGGGGUAGAAUUCCAGGUGUAGCCGUGAAUUGCGUAGAGAUCUGGAGGAAUCCCGGUGGCGAAGGCGGCCCCCUGGACAAAGACUGACGCUCAGGUGCGAAAGCGUGGGGAGCAAACAGG
RNAcentral lists this ribosomal RNA (429 nucleotides) under Chloroflexota bacterium. RNAcentral's name for it is "Chloroflexi bacterium partial 16S ribosomal RNA". It matches the Rfam family "Bacterial small subunit ribosomal RNA", at positions 355 to 776 of the family's 1533-position model. Lineage: Bacteria; Bacillati; Chloroflexota. The record is from RNAcentral.